GCAUAUCAUAAGCGCAGGAAAAGAAACCAACAGGGAUUGCCUCAGUAACGGCGAGUGAAGCGGCAACAGCUCAAAUUUGAAAUCUGGCCUCUUGGGGUCCGAGUUGUAAUUUGUAGAGGAUGUUUCGGGUACCGCCUCGGUUUAAAUUUCUUGGAACAGAAUGUCAAAGAGGGUGAGAAUCCCGUCUUGGACCGGCGGUAGGGCCUAUGUGAAACUCCUUCGACGAGUCGAGUUGUUUGGGAAUGCAGCUCAAAAUGGGUGGUAAAUUUCAUCUAAAGCUAAAUAUUGGCCAGAGACCGAUAGCGCACAAGUAGAGUGAUCGAAAGAUGAAAAGCACUUUGAAAAGAGAGUUAAACAGUAUGUGAAAUUGUUGAAAGGGAAGCGCUUGCAACCAGACUUGAGCGCGGCGGUUCCCCCUUGCUUCUGCUUGGGUUACUCCGCCGUGUCCAGGCCAACAUCGGUUCUGGGGGUCGGUCAAAGGCUCUGGGAAUGUAUCUACCCACGGGUAGACUUAUAGACCAGGGUGUCAUGCGACCUCCCGGGACCGAGGAACGCGCUUCGGCUCGGAUGUUGGCGUAAUGGUUGUCAGCGACCCGUCUUGAAACACGGACCAAGGAGUCUAACAUCUAUGCGAGUGUUUGGGUGUCAAACCCGGAACGCGGAAUGAAAGUGAACGGAGGUAGGAAGCUUCGGCUGCACUAUCGACCGAUCCUGAAGUUUACGGAUGGAUUUGAGUAAGAGCAUAGCUGUUGGGACCCGAAAGAUGGUGAACUAUGCCUGAAUAGGGUGAAGCCAGAGGAAACUCUGGUGGAGGCUCGCAGCGGUUCUGACGUGCAAAUCGAUCGUCAAAUUUGGGUAUAGGGGCGAAAGACUAAUCGAACCCAUCUGGUAGCUGGUGCUGCGA
RNAcentral lists this ribosomal RNA (904 nucleotides) under Fonsecaea pedrosoi. RNAcentral's name for it is "LSU rRNA". It matches the Rfam family "Eukaryotic large subunit ribosomal RNA", at positions 38 to 964 of the family's 3401-position model. Lineage: Eukaryota; Fungi; Ascomycota; Eurotiomycetes; Chaetothyriales; Herpotrichiellaceae. The record is from RNAcentral.